Molecule: unclassified non-coding RNA, 157 nt
Filed under: Nectriopsis fuliginicola
Lineage: Eukaryota; Fungi; Ascomycota; Sordariomycetes; Hypocreales; Bionectriaceae
Description: partial internal transcribed spacer 2
Source: RNAcentral
CAACCCUCAAGCAACAUCUGCUUGGUGUUGGGGACCGGCCGUCAAACGCCGCCCCCUAAAUCCAUUGGCGAUCUCGCUGCAGCUUCCUAUGCGUAGUAGUAACAUCUCGCAUGUGGAGAGCGGCGCGGUCAUGCCGUAAAACACCCAACUUCUUCCA